Molecule: RNA transcript, 3623 nt
Organism: Panicum virgatum (switchgrass)
Lineage: Eukaryota; Viridiplantae; Streptophyta; Magnoliopsida; Poales; Poaceae
Exons: 12
Source: RefSeq, a predicted model, not a curated record
AGCCGUCAAGUUAGUAUUGAUCAACUAAUUGUCCAGCUACCCGCUCGUGAUAUCGGCUAAUUUUCCACGUCUGUGUGUUAGAUGCUGAUCAAAGAGCCGUGAGGCGGCAAAAAGCAAGAGAUCGUUAUGCAAAUAUGCCGCCUGAGAAGAAAGCAGAACUUAAUGCAAAGAAAAGGCAAGACUAUCAUCGAAAGCAUGCCGAGAAGCGAUCAGUAGCAAUGUCGAAUACACCUCAGUCAGAAGUGUUACAUGUUGGCGGGACCACAAGUUUUAUGGAGACACCUCAGUCUGCCAUGAUCCACGGUGUUGGAUCUGCGGGUUAGACAUAUUUUUUUGGGUGCUUUUAUAUUGGUGCAAAGGGACGAUUAAUGCUGUUUAUUAUCGGUGAUGGGACUGUCAGACUUCCCAUAGCCAGAAGUGUUACAUGUUGACGGGACCACAAGUUUUAUGGAGAUACCUUUUUCUACCAUGAUCCACGGUGUUGGAGCUGCAGGACUGUCAGACUUCCCAGUUUCAGCACUGUUUCAUGAGGAUGCAUCUGCAACUUCUAAUGGGGUUGCUGGUGUUGUGGGAAGUCAGCAAGAAUACGUGCGCCUGGUUCGUCACAAAGCUGCAUUGCCGGAUACACCACAGUCGGCAGUGUUUCAUAUUGAUAGAAUCCCAUCUUUCAUGGAGACACCACAGAUGGGAGUGUCCCCCGUUGCUGGCCUAGCAGGUGAUGGUACCACUAUUUCGCCCAGAAGUGCAAGAAAACAGAAAAAAAAGAUAUGGACCGAAUUAGGUUUGCAACAAUGUCAAAUGAAAAAAAGGCUGGAAAGAAUGCCAAACAAAAGGAAAUAUAUAAUAGAAAAAAUAUGAAGGUGGAAACAUUGGGAAUAAAAAAUUUGACUCUGGUAUUGGUAUUUGGGAACCGGAUGACGAGUUGUUGGCCGCACAAGAAGAGGAGGAUUUGGACUGCAGAGCGCCAGAUUGUGGUCCUGAUCUUGAUGAUUUCGCAGAUGACGAAGCAAGAGUCUAUUAUGCUAAUGACGUCAAGAUAGUUUCAUUCAGGGAACCGGAAGUGGUUAUCUUGAAUAAUGAUCCUUAUGAAAGAGUAUACAAAGAUUUGCCUGCGGGACAUCUUGUGUUGAGGAAAAAUACCAAUAUGCGAGUAUUGCGAUGUUAUAGAGUUACCAAACGAGGGGUUCAAUUUUUGUUGCAGGCAAGAAAAAGUUAAUAUAGUGAGCACACCAAUUCCGCCUGAUCUGUGCCGCCUAUUUACAAGUCAGACCAAUAGAGAUGCCUUGUAUUUCAGAAAAAAAUAUACGGUACUUCAAUUCUCAUUUCUCAUUCACAAGCUUUGGAGCUAAUGUGGACCAUAGAGUCGCUACUGCAGCUGGACUGAGGGUCAGAUGGAAAAUUUGGACGAGUUGAAGACUGAAUUGAACACCAGUAUUUCUGUUCAUCAGAGAAGAUAUAAUGCACCUGCUAUGGACCAGGUUGCGGCUAUCUGGCAGGAUGGAUCUGAUGAAAAAAAUAAAUUUAAACGGAGUAUUAUGGUUUUUCCAAAUUCUGGGGGACCACAAUUUAUACGGGCAUUCCAUGGUUGUUAUGAUCCGUUAGCGUAUCCUAUCCUAUAUCCCGGUGGUGAGACUGGCUGGGAAGACAAGAGUAGACGGAAAUAUACAAAGCGGAAAUCUGAGGAUGCUCCGAAGGGAAAUUCUCAAGCGACAUGUAGAUCGGGUGUUAAACGAAAACAUGUAGAAACAACAAUUCAAGAUAUUUGUGAGGAACAAGGUGACUGUGACGAUAACAUGGAUGAGGACGGUGAAGGAGGAGGUGGUGGAAAACGUUUGCAUGUCAGCACAAGGGAGUAUUACUGCUAUAUGAUGCAGAUCUGGAUUGGAGAUUUUAAUAUAUUCUUUCAUGGUGGGAGGCUUUUUCAACAAUGAAUAGUGAAUAUGUAUGUUAAAAUAGAAAGUAUGCGGUUAGAUUGGUACUCCAAUCUAGAACACCAAAAAAAUUAUUAGAGCAGAUCACUAUCAGGUAUAAUUAAUUAGACUACCCGCAUUUAUCAGUACUCUUAUGAAUUUUUUGAUAUGCGCUAUUUGAUUCGAGCGAAUUUGUUUUCAAUAACAAGGUAUAAUGGACACCCUUGCUGCCGGAGAGCAUAGAGGUUUGAAGGCUGGUAAAUUGGUUGUUUUAUCUAAGAAUUUUUUGGAAGUGAUAGAGAUGUGCAGUGUAGAUUCAUGGAUGCAAUGUCAUUAGUUGCUAAAUAUGGAAAGUUAGAUUACUUUUUAACCAUGACUUGCAACCCAUACUGGCCAGAGAUCACAUAACUUUUGUUGCCUGGGCAGACACCUCAAGGUAGACCAGAUAUUGUGGCGAGGGUUUAUCAUGCAAAACUCAUUGAUUUCCAUAACUUUGUUAUUAAGAAGGGGUUCUUUGGGAAAGUGGUAGCUUGGGCACACGUUACCGAGUUUCAGAAAAGAGGUUUGCCGCAUGAAUAUUCUUGCUUAUAAUGGACAGCAGUUUAAAGCUUAGUGAGCCAGAUGAUUUUGACAACUAUAUUUCAGCAGAACUUCUGGAUGAAAAGAAAUACCCUUUUCUCCACAAACUUGUCUGCAAACAUAUGAUGCAUGGCCCUAGUGGUGUUCUUAACAGAAAUUGUAGUUGCAUGUAGGAUGGUGCUUGUCGUUUCAGAUACCCUAAACAGUUCAGGGAGACCACGGAGCAAGGAAAGGAUGCAUAUCCUAUAUACAGAAGACAGAAUGAUGGUCACAAGUUAUUUGUACGUAAGAAAUGGUUGGAUAAUAAAUGGAUUGUACCAUAUAAUUAUCACAUCAAUGUUGAAGUUUCAAGCAGUAUCAAAUGUUGCAAGUAUCUUUAUAAAUAUGUAUACAAGGGCACGGACUGUGCAUCAUUCGCAAUUGCGAAUCAAGACCAGAAUGGAGAGAUAGAGAUAAAUGAAAUUAAAUAGUACAGGAAGGCACGGUGUAUAACGUCUAUUGAAGCAGUAUACCGGCUCUAUAGGUUCCCAAUGUUUUCCAUGUAUCCCCCUAUUUUACAGAUGCAAGUUCAUCUUCCUGGCAUGCACAUGGUCCCAUUCAAUGAUGACGACAACCUUGAAGAUGUGCUGGAGCGCGCUAGGAACCAAAGAUCGAUGCUAACAGAAUUCUUUAGAAUGAACAACGAAGAUCCAAACGCUCGAAAAUACUUAUACAAGGAGUUUCCAGAACAUUAUACAUGGAACAAGUCCAAAAAAGUUUGGUCUACUAGAAAAAGAAGUUACCAGAUUGGAAGAUUGGUGUAUGCAUACCCGUCUGAGGGUGAAAGAUUCUAUCUUCGAGUUCUUCUAAAUCAUGUUCGAGGUCCAACAUCAUUCAUAUCAAUCAGAACAGUUCGUGGUGUGGUGAGUCCUACUUUUAGAGAAUACUGUGAGAAACUUGGUCUUGUUGAAACAGAUAGGUCACUCGACAAUGCACUUAGCGAAGCAGUAGCUUUUCAGAUGCCAUGUGCUCUCAUAAGAAUGUUUGCCACUAUUAUGGUUUUCUGCGAGUACACAAACGUCCGUGCCCUCUGGGACAAACAUUUUGAAUCAAUGGCUGAGAACUAUGUGCGUGUUCGUGGAAAUUCUUCAAGUA